This 435-nucleotide ribosomal RNA is filed under the name Neisseria mucosa. Its description in RNAcentral is "bacterial SSU rRNA". It matches the Rfam family "Bacterial small subunit ribosomal RNA", at positions 30 to 458 of the family's 1533-position model. Lineage: Bacteria; Pseudomonadati; Pseudomonadota; Betaproteobacteria; Neisseriales; Neisseriaceae. The record is from RNAcentral.
AUUGAACGCUGGCGGCAUGCUUUACACAUGCAAGUCGGACGGCAGCACAGAGAAGCUUGCUUCUUGGGUGGCGAGUGGCGAACGGGUGAGUAACAUAUCGGAACGUACCGAGCAGUGGGGGAUAACUAAUCGAAAGAUUAGCUAAUACCGCAUAUAUUCUGAGGAAGAAAGCAGGGGACCAUUUGGCCUUGCGCUGUUUGAGCGGCCGAUAUCUGAUUAGCUGGUUGGUGGGGUAAAGGCCUACCAAGGCGACGAUCAGUAGCGGGUCUGAGAGGAUGAUCCGCCACACUGGGACUGAGACACGGCCCAGACUCCUACGGGAGGCAGCAGUGGGGAAUUUUGGACAAUGGGCGCAAGCCUGAUCCAGCCAUGCCGCGUGUCUGAAGAAGGCCUUCGGGUUGUAAAGUGACUUUUGUCAGGGAAGAAAAGGGCGGG